Molecule: small RNA, 116 nt
Filed under: Calothrix sp.
Lineage: Bacteria; Bacillati; Cyanobacteriota; Cyanophyceae; Nostocales; Calotrichaceae
Description: c-di-AMP sequence
Rfam family: c-di-AMP riboswitch aptamer (ydaO/yuaA leader)
About the family: This family represents a conserved RNA structure found upstream of the ydaO and yuaA genes in Bacillus subtilis and related genes in other bacteria.
Source: RNAcentral
UAAUAAAAAUUGUCGGAACGGAGGAACCACUUUUGGGGCGUAUCUUUUGAAAGUAGAAAGAGGAGUAUCUCUCAACUCUAGCCCGUCAGCUAACUUCGUAGGCAUUGAGAGGAAAC